This is a long non-coding RNA of Conger conger (European conger), 909 nucleotides long. RefSeq lists it as uncharacterized. The record is from RefSeq and is a predicted model, not a curated record. Lineage: Eukaryota; Metazoa; Chordata; Actinopteri; Anguilliformes; Congridae. The transcript is spliced from 3 exons.
UGAAAGUCAAAUAUCAGAAAGCAGAAAGAGAAGAUGAUGACCCUCCCUGCUGUGUUCCUGUGUCUUGGUGUGCUGCUACUGUCUCCUGGCCCAGGGGAAGCAAAUGCACCUGUGAUUAAGUGCUGUUUGAGAGUGUCAGAUAUGAAAAUUCCUGUGAGCAGGAUUGCUCGUUAUGAAAAACAGAUGAAAGGUCUAUGUCCCAUUGAAGCAAUCAUCUUCACAACAGUUAAAGGCCUUACAUAUUGCAGCGGCUUAAACCAGUGGGCAGCAAGAGUCAUGCACAUUAUGGAUGGAAAGAUCACCACAUUACCAAACCCGUCGAUGUUGAGCACCACAGAAAAAACUGUGCACCCAUCCCAGUCAAUGUUGAACACCACAACGAAAUCUGAGCACCCAUACCCAUCAAUGUUGAGCACCACAGCCAAAUCCCAUACCCUUCGAUAUUGAACCCCACACACCAAACUAUGCAAUUCUGUGUCAAACAAAAUGAUAACUAAAUCAAGUAGCUUUUUUAGCAUGUUAAGACAGAUAAAUUUCAAAGAAAACAAAAAAUAAAAUCAAAAACAUGCAUCACAAAAUUACCUAUGGAUAAUUUAUGGAUUUUUCUUUCUUCCAUUCUAUGCUCUUCCAAAUUUUGAAUCAACUAGUUUCCGCUGCUGCCAACAGCCUUAAAGCAAACAGCAGCUGAAAUGUGCACACUCCUUCAAUGAACUUGUUUGCAUGCCUAAAUCUAUAACAGAAACACAAAUACAUCACGAGUGGAGGUCAUUUAGAACUUCAAAAUGUUUGUGACUUUGAAGGUGACAGUAACAUGCACUGAUUAAAGUAGUGUAACCUUUUGUUGAUUGGAAUUGUUUCUACUCUCAUUUUGUAGCUAAUAAAACACAUUGAAUUAAGCAAUAACCAAAA